AUGCUUAUCUUCUCAGGAUUAGCAUGUGAUUAUGUAGUAAAAGGAGGAGCUAGAGCCAAUGGGGCAAGGAUCCCAGAACACUGGUGCCACAAGAUGAUUCGUUUAAACAAAUUUAUGCUUCUUCCCCCUACUAUGUAACUUUUUAAUACUACAUGGUUUACCAAUUUUCUGUCUUAUGAGCAAUGCAAAUUAAACAAAAAAUAAUUAUGAGCAAUGGCAAUGCUAUAUAUAUUGCUAGGAUUU
Arachis ipaensis is the source of this 243-nucleotide non-coding RNA. The record is from RefSeq and is a predicted model, not a curated record. Lineage: Eukaryota; Viridiplantae; Streptophyta; Magnoliopsida; Fabales; Fabaceae.